RNAcentral lists this ribosomal RNA (2900 nucleotides) under Klebsiella pneumoniae CHS 29. RNAcentral describes it as "bacterial LSU rRNA". It matches the Rfam family "Bacterial large subunit ribosomal RNA". Lineage: Bacteria; Pseudomonadati; Pseudomonadota; Gammaproteobacteria; Enterobacterales; Enterobacteriaceae. The record is from RNAcentral.
UUAAGCGACUAAGCGUACACGGUGGAUGCCCUGGCAGUCAGAGGCGAUGAAGGACGUGCUAAUCUGCGAAAAGCGUCGGUAAGGUGAUAUGAACCGUUAUAACCGGCGAUGUCCGAAUGGGGAAACCCAGUGCAAUUCGUUGCACUAUCGUUAACUGAAUACAUAGGUUAACGAGGCGAACCGGGGGAACUGAAACAUCUAAGUACCCCGAGGAAAAGAAAUCAACCGAGAUUCCCCCAGUAGCGGCGAGCGAACGGGGAGCAGCCCAGAGUCUGAAUCAGCUUGUGUGUUAGUGGAACGGUCUGGAAAGUCCGACGGUACAGGGUGAUAGUCCCGUACACCAAAAUGCACAGGUUGUGAACUCGAAGAGUAGGGCGGGACACGUGGUAUCCUGUCUGAAUAUGGGGGGACCAUCCUCCAAGGCUAAAUACUCCUGACUGACCGAUAGUGAACCAGUACCGUGAGGGAAAGGCGAAAAGAACCCCGGCGAGGGGAGUGAAAAAGAACCUGAAACCGUGUACGUACAAGCAGUGGGAGCACCUUCGGGUGUGACUGCGUACCUUUUGUAUAAUGGGUCAGCGACUUAUAUUCUGUAGCAAGGUUAACCGUAUAGGGGAGCCGCAGGGAAACCGAGUCUUAACUGGGCGUUAAGUUGCAGGGUAUAGACCCGAAACCCGGUGAUCUAGCCAUGGGCAGGUUGAAGGUUGGGUAACACUAACUGGAGGACCGAACCGACUAAUGUUGAAAAAUUAGCGGAUGACUUGUGGCUGGGGGUGAAAGGCCAAUCAAACCGGGAGAUAGCUGGUUCUCCCCGAAAGCUAUUUAGGUAGCGCCUCGUGAACUCAUCUUCGGGGGUAGAGCACUGUUUCGGCUAGGGGGUCAUCCCGGCUUACCAACCCGAUGCAAACUACGAAUACCGAAGAAUGUUAUCACGGGAGACACACGGCGGGUGCUAACGUCCGUCGUGAAGAGGGAAACAACCCAGACCGCCAGCUAAGGUCCCAAAGUCAUGGUUAAGUGGGAAACGAUGUGGGAAGGCACAGACAGCCAGGAUGUUGGCUUAGAAGCAGCCAUCAUUUAAAGAAAGCGUAAUAGCUCACUGGUCGAGUCGGCCUGCGCGGAAGAUGUAACGGGGCUAAACCAUGCACCGAAGCUGCGGCAGCGACACUAUGUGUUGUUGGGUAGGGGAGCGUUCUGUAAGCCUGCGAAGGUGUGCUGUGAGGCAUGCUGGAGGUAUCAGAAGUGCGAAUGCUGACAUAAGUAACGAUAAAGCGGGUGAAAAGCCCGCUCGCCGGAAGACCAAGGGUUCCUGUCCAACGUUAAUCGGGGCAGGGUGAGUCGACCCCUAAGGCGAGGCCGAAAGGCGUAGUCGAUGGGAAACAGGUUAAUAUUCCUGUACUUGGUGUUACUGCGAAGGGGGGACGGAGAAGGCUAUGUUAGCCGGGCGACGGUUGUCCCGGUUUAAGCAUGUAGGCUGAUUGUCCAGGCAAAUCCGGAUAAUCAAGGCUGAGGUGUGAUGACGAGGCACUACGGUGCUGAAGUAACAAAUGCCCUGCUUCCAGGAAAAGCCUCUAAGCAUCAGGUAACAUUAAAUCGUACCCCAAACCGACACAGGUGGUCAGGUAGAGAAUACCAAGGCGCUUGAGAGAACUCGGGUGAAGGAACUAGGCAAAAUGGUGCCGUAACUUCGGGAGAAGGCACGCUGGUGUGUAGGUGAAGUCCCUGCGGAUGGAGCUGAGACCAGUCGAAGAUACCAGCUGGCUGCAACUGUUUAUUAAAAACACAGCACUGUGCAAACACGAAAGUGGACGUAUACGGUGUGACGCCUGCCCGGUGCCGGAAGGUUAAUUGAUGGGGUUAUCCGUAAGGAGAAGCUCUUGAUCGAAGCCCCGGUAAACGGCGGCCGUAACUAUAACGGUCCUAAGGUAGCGAAAUUCCUUGUCGGGUAAGUUCCGACCUGCACGAAUGGCGUAAUGAUGGCCAGGCUGUCUCCACCCGAGACUCAGUGAAAUUGAACUCGCUGUGAAGAUGCAGUGUACCCGCGGCAAGACGGAAAGACCCCGUGAACCUUUACUAUAGCUUGACACUGAACAUUGAGCCUUGAUGUGUAGGAUAGGUGGGAGGCUUUGAAGCGUGGACGCCAGUCUGCGUGGAGCCAACCUUGAAAUACCACCCUUUAAUGUUUGAUGUUCUAACGUUGGCCCCUGACCGGGGUUGCGGACAGUGUCUGGUGGGUAGUUUGACUGGGGCGGUCUCCUCCCAAAGCGUAACGGAGGAGCACGAAGGUUAGCUAAUCCUGGUCGGACAUCAGGAGGUUAGUGCAAUGGCAUAAGCUAGCUUGACUGCGAGCGUGACGGCGCGAGCAGGUGCGAAAGCAGGUCAUAGUGAUCCGGUGGUUCUGAAUGGAAGGGCCAUCGCUCAACGGAUAAAAGGUACUCCGGGGAUAACAGGCUGAUACCGCCCAAGAGUUCAUAUCGACGGCGGUGUUUGGCACCUCGAUGUCGGCUCAUCACAUCCUGGGGCUGAAGUAGGUCCCAAGGGUAUGGCUGUUCGCCAUUUAAAGUGGUACGCGAGCUGGGUUUAGAACGUCGUGAGACAGUUCGGUCCCUAUCUGCCGUGGGCGCUGGAGAAUUGAGGGGGGCUGCUCCUAGUACGAGAGGACCGGAGUGGACGCAUCACUGGUGUUCGGGUUGUCAUGCCAAUGGCACUGCCCGGUAGCUAAAUGCGGAAGAGAUAAGUGCUGAAAGCAUCUAAGCACGAAACUUGCCCCGAGAUGAGUUCUCCCUGAGACUUUAAGUCUCCUGAAGGAACGUUGAAGACGACGACGUUGAUAGGCCGGGUGUGUAAGCGCAGCGAUGCGUUGAGCUAACCGGUACUAAUGAACCGUGAGGCUUAACCUU